GCCUAACAUCUAGCCCACACUACCCUCAUGAACCUUUUCUACACCCUCCCGUACACAACAAAACAUUUUAUCUCUUUAGUACAGGCGAUCGAAAAACUUAUAGGCGCUUCAGAUUAAGUACCGCAAGGGAAAGAGGAAAUAAAAAUGA
This 148-nucleotide ribosomal RNA is filed under the name Sanguirana luzonensis (Luzon frog). Its description in RNAcentral is "partial 16S ribosomal RNA". Lineage: Eukaryota; Metazoa; Chordata; Amphibia; Anura; Ranidae. The record is from RNAcentral.